GGAGGGUGCAAGCGUUAUCCGGAUUCACUGGGUUUAAAGGGUGCGUAGGCGGGUAAGUAAGUCCGUGGUGAAAUCUCUGAGCUUAACUCAGAAACCGCCGUGGAUACUAUUUGCCUUGAAUAUUGUGGAGGUGAGCGGAAUAUGUCAUGUAGCGGUGAAAUGCUUAGAUAUGACAUAGAACACCAAUUGCGAAGGCAGCUCACUACACAAUCAUUGACGCUGAGGCACGAAAGCGUGGGGAUCAAACAGGAUUAGAUACCCUGGUAGUCCACGCCCUAAACGAUGAUUACUCGACAUCAGCGAUACACUGUUGGUGUCUGAGCGAAAGCAUUAAGUAAUCCACCUGGGAAGUACGAUCGCAAGAUUG
This 367-nucleotide ribosomal RNA is filed under the name uncultured bacterium. Its description in RNAcentral is "bacterial SSU rRNA". It matches the Rfam family "Bacterial small subunit ribosomal RNA", at positions 527 to 896 of the family's 1533-position model. The record is from RNAcentral.